This is a long non-coding RNA of Coregonus clupeaformis (lake whitefish), 3248 nucleotides long. RefSeq lists it as uncharacterized. The transcript is spliced from 55 exons. The record is from RefSeq and is a predicted model, not a curated record. Lineage: Eukaryota; Metazoa; Chordata; Actinopteri; Salmoniformes; Salmonidae.
AAACGGUUGGAGGAUCUCUUUUAUCUGCGGAGUCCAACUUGACAUCUGAGCUAGCUUGCAGGCGAAGGUCAAUUGAACUAACUUCAGGACAGAAAUGGAUGGGAAAAGUACAUCCUGUAGCUAACAUCUCUAACUGCAGAAUGGAAGGGAAAAGUACAUCCUGUAGCUAACAUCUAUAUGCCGUCCAGAAAUGGAAUCCUCUACACCAGAACAUGACAUCCUGUAACGCCUCUAACUGCAGAAUGGAAGGGAAAAGUACAUCCUGUAGCUAACAUCUCUAACUGCAGACCAGAAUGGAUGGGAAAAGUACAUCCUGUAGCUAACAGCUCUAACUGCAGAAUGGAAGGGAAAAGUACAUCCUGUAGCUAACAUCUCUAACUGCAGAAUGGAAGGGAAAAGUACAUCCUGUAGCUAACAGCUAUAUGCUGCCUGAAAUGGAAUCCUCUACACCAGAACAUGAUAUCCUGUAACGCCUCUAACUGCAGACCAGAAUGGAUGGGAAAAGUACAUCCUGUAGCUAACAGCUCUAACUGCAGAAUGGAAGGGAAAAGUACAUCCUGUAGCUAACAUCUCUAACUGCAGACCAGAAUGGAUGGGAAAAGUACAUCCUGUAGCUAACAGCUCUAACUGCAGAAUGGAAGGGAAAAGUACAUCCUGUAGCUAACAGCUCUAACUGCAGACCAGAAUGGAUGGGAAAAGUACAUCCUGUAGCUAACAGCUCUAACUGCAGAAUGGAAGGGAAAAGUACAUCCUGUAGCUAACAUCUAUAUGCUGCCUGAAAUGGAAUCCUCUACACCAGAACAUGAUAUCCUGUAACGCCUCUAACUGCAGACCAGAAUGGAUGGGAAAAGUACAUCCUGUAGCUAACAGCUCUAACUGCAGACCAGAAUGGAUGGGAAAAGUAUAUCCUGUAGCUAACAUCUCUAACUGCAGAAUGGAAGGGAAAAGUACAUCCUGUAGCUAACAGCUAUAUGCUGCCUGAAAUGGAAUCCUCUACACCAGAACAUGAUAUCCUGUAACGCCUCUAACUGCAGACCAGAAUGGAUGGGAAAAGUACAUCCUGUAGCUAACAGCUCUAACUGCAGACCAGAAUGGAUGGGAAAAGUACAUCCUGUAGCUAACAGCUCUAACUGCAGACCAGAAUGGAUGGGAAAAGUACAUCCUGUAGCUAACAGCUCUAACUGCAGAAUGGAAGGGAAAAGUACAUCCUGUAGCUAACAUCUAUAUGCCGUCCAGAAAUGGAAUCCUCUACGCCAGAACAUGAUAUCCUGUAACGCCUCUAACUGCAGAAUGGAUGGGAAAAGUACAUCCUGUAGCUAACAUCUCUAACUGCAGACCAGAAUGGAUGGGAGAAGUACAUCCUGUAGCUAACAUCUCUAACUGCAGACCAGAAUGGAUGGGAAAAGUAUAUCCUGUAGCUAACAUCUCUAACUGCAGAAUGGAAGGGAAAAGUACAUCCUGUAGCUAACAGCUAUAUGCUGCCUGAAAUGGAAUCCUCUACACCAGAACAUGAUAUCCUGUAACGCCUCUAACUGCAGACCAGAAUGGAUGGGAAAAGUACAUCCUGUAGCUAACAGCUCUAACUGCAGAAUGGAAGGGAAAAGUACAUCCUGUAGCUAACAUCUAUAUGCCGUCCAGAAAUGGAAUCCUCUACGCCAGAACAUGACAUCCUGUAACGCCUCUAACUGCAGAAUGGAUGGGAAAAGUACAUCCUGUAGCUAACAUCUCUAACUGCAGACCAGAAUGGAUGGGAGAAGUACAUCCUGUAGCUAACAUCUCUAACUGCAGACCAGAAUGGAUGGGAGAAGUACAUCCUCAAGCUAACAUCUCUAACUGCAGAAUGGAAGGGAAAAGUACAUCCUGUAGCUAACAGCUCUAACUGCAGACCAGAAUGGAUGGGAAAAGUACAUCCUGUAGCUAACAUCUCUAACUGCAGACCAGAAUGGAUGGGAAAAGUAUAUCCUGUAGCUAACAUCUCUAACUGCAGAAUGGAAGGGAAAAGUACAUCCUGUAGCUAACAGCUAUAUGCUGCCUGAAAUGGAAUCCUCUACACCAGAACAUGAUAUCCUGUAACGCCUCUAACUGCAGAAUGGAUGGGAAAAGUACAUCCUGUAGCUAACAUCUCUAACUGCAGACCAGAAUGGAUGGGAGAAGUACAUCCUGUAGCUAACAUCUCUAACUGCAGACCAGAAUGGAUGGGAGAAGUACAUCCUCAAGCUAACAUCUCUAACUGCAGAAUGGAAGGGAAAAGUACAUCCUGUAGCUAACAGCUCUAACUGCAGACCAGAAUGGAUGGGAAAAGUACAUCCUGUAGCUAACAUCUCUAACUGCAGAAUGGAAGGGAAAAGUACAUCCUGUAGCUAACAGCUAUAUGCUGCCUGAAAUGGAAUCCUCUACACCAGAACAUGAUAUCCUGUAACGCCUCUAACUGCAGACCAGAAUGGAUGGGAAAAGUACAUCCUGUAGCUAACAUCUAUAUGCUGCCUGAAAUGGAAUCCUCUACACCAGAACAUGAUAUCCUGUAACGCCUCUAACUGCAGAAUGGAAGGGAAAAGUACAUCCUGUAGCUAACAGCUCUAACUGCAGACCAGAAUGGAUGGGAUAAGUACAUCCUGUAGCUAACAUCUCUAACUGCAGAAUGGAUGGGAAAAGUACAUCCUGUAGCUAACAGCUAUAUGCUGCCUGAAAUGGAAUCCUCUACACCAGAACAUGACAUCCUGUAACGCCUAGGACUGCUAGCCGUGUUACUCCAUCCUUCCAAAUUGUCUCAUUGACUAGCGACGCCUGGCCUUCAGAGGUUGGGGGACUGUGGACCAGAAAAGGACACAAUGUUACACUUGUAAGAAUACGUUUUCAUAUUGUGCUACUUUUGUGAAGUUGUUGCAAGAUUGUAUUAAGAAUGACAGUAUCCCGAACCUGAUUCCUGUAAGAUUGACAACACUGUCGGACCUGACUUCUGAAAUGAAACUUGCAACCAAACGUGUUAGCAGGAUUAUGGGGGGAAUAGCUUUUUAAAGGUUGUAACAAGGUGUUUUCUUUAAUUUAUUUAAUUCCUAUUGACUCUCUUUGCAAGUAUUGUGAUCUUUAUCAGACACUGGGCUGGCCAUCACUGGCAAUGUGGAGACCGCAGUAUUGCCUUUUCAUUUACGAAGUGCUAAAUUGGUACCGAGCUAGCCUAGGACAAAGUUUGUCGUAUUGAUUUGUGGAUUAACUGGAUGUUAGAAUUUAAUAAAGAUAAUUUAAGUGCA